UCGGAUUGCAGCCUGCAACUCGGCUGCAUGAAGCUGGAAUCGCUAGUAAUCGCGGAUCAGAAUGCCGCGGUGAAUACGUUCCCGGGUCUUGUACACACCGCCCGUCACACCAUGGGAGUCGGGAAUGCCCGAAGUCAGUGACCCAACCGAAAGGGGGAGCUGCCGAAGGCAGGCCUGGUAACUGGGGUGAAGUCGUAACAAGGUACC
Molecule: ribosomal RNA, 207 nt
Filed under: uncultured bacterium
Lineage: Bacteria
Description: partial 16S ribosomal RNA
Rfam family: Bacterial small subunit ribosomal RNA
Source: RNAcentral